UCGAGGAUCUUCGGCAAUGGGCGCAAGCCUGACCGAGCGACGCCGCGUGUGCGAUGAAGGCCUUCGGGUUGUAAAGCACUGUCGAGGGGGAGGAAGCUCCGCAAGGAGUUGACCUAUCCCUGGAGGAAGCACGGGCUAAGUUCGUGCCAGCAGCCGCGGUAAGACGAACCGUGCAAACGUUGUUCGGAAUCACUGGGCUUAAAGGGCGCGUAGGCGGUCGGUCAAGUCUGGGGUGAAAUCUUUCGGCUCAACCGGAAAAGUGCCCCGGAUACGGAUCGGCUGGAGGGAGGUAGGGGUCGACGGAACUUCCGGUGGAGCGGUGAAAUGCGUAGAUAUCGGAAGGAACACCGGUGGCGAAAGCGGUCGACUGGACCUUUUCUGACGCUGAGGCGCGAAAGCCAGGGGAGCAAACGGGAUUAGAUACCCGCGUAGUCC
This 435-nucleotide ribosomal RNA is filed under the name uncultured bacterium. RNAcentral's name for it is "bacterial SSU rRNA". It matches the Rfam family "Bacterial small subunit ribosomal RNA", at positions 355 to 796 of the family's 1533-position model. The record is from RNAcentral.